This is a long non-coding RNA of Oncorhynchus gorbuscha (pink salmon), 408 nucleotides long. RefSeq lists it as uncharacterized. The transcript has 3 exons. The record is from RefSeq and is a predicted model, not a curated record. NCBI's taxonomy places the organism in Eukaryota, Metazoa, Chordata, Actinopteri, Salmoniformes, Salmonidae.
GAAUGGUUCGCUGUUAUGUGACAAUUAGGUCAAAAACUCUAUUUUAUUUUUUGGUGUAGAUGGCCAAGGAAGUUGCACAGAACUUCCCCAACAUCCCCUCCCAAAUUAAUGGCUGAGGAUAUACUAAAAAUGUCUGAGUUCAACAAAGCCAACAACUGCGUCAUGUGUACCACUGAUGAAGAACCUGGAUGUGGCCCAAAGACUGACAGGGAAUGAAGACAAAAGAGUUCAACAGAGUAAAGAACACAAACUGGAAGUGCAGUCUUUGUUGUUGAAAAUGAAUGCUCUACCCCAUCCACACUGAAGAGGCUCUGAAAUGUACAUCAACCAGGGAUAAUGAGAACGUUAACACUGAAAUGUUUUAUACUUAUUUGAAGUUUAGUGUCUGUUGACAUGUUGGAAAAGAUU